UACGUAGGGUGCGAGCGUUAAUCGGAAUUACUGGGCGUAAAGCGUGCGCAGGCGGUUUUGUAAGACAGAUGUGAAAUCCCCGGGCUUAACCUGGGAACUGCAUUUGUGACUGCAAGACUAGAGUACUGGAGAGGGUGGUGGAAUUCCUCGUGUAGCGGUGAAAUGCGUAGAUAUGUGGAGGAAUACCGAUGGCGAAGGCAGCCCCCUGGGUCGACACUGACGCUCAUGCACGAAAGCGUGGGGAGCAAACAGG
Molecule: ribosomal RNA, 253 nt
Filed under: uncultured bacterium
Lineage: Bacteria
Description: partial 16S ribosomal RNA
Rfam family: Bacterial small subunit ribosomal RNA
Source: RNAcentral